RNAcentral lists this long non-coding RNA (1654 nucleotides) under Mus musculus (house mouse). RNAcentral describes it as "long non-coding RNA chr11:29494046-29495700". The record is from RNAcentral. Lineage: Eukaryota; Metazoa; Chordata; Mammalia; Rodentia; Muridae.
AAACUCUUUAGAAGAUGGCCAAACCCUGGGGACCAAGAAGAGCAGCAGUGAGUGCUCUAAACAGAUUAUUGAUUUAGAUUGCUCUUUUAAAAGACAAUUUCUAGUAGUCUUAGUUUGAUCAAUGAUAUUUCGUUUUAACUUUAUGUUCAUAAUAUUAAUUGCAGACUACAAUAGUGUAUAGGUAGAGAUAAGAAUCAUUGUGCUAGUAAGGUAAACUAUUGUAAAAAGAUCAUUCAAUUAAGAAUGAGCCUUUUGCUCAUAUUCUUUUAUAGCAUAAAAUUGGAACAAAGUUAUAUUAGGGAAGUAAAAAAAAAUAAAUACUAAUUUGAAGAGGUAUUACAGAAUUAUUUAAAGAUAACUGAAGUCUCAAAAAUUAUUGCGGGAUACUUGCUGACGUUUUGGUUAAAAUGAAAUAAAGAUGGGGAAAUGUAAAUAUAUAAACUUAAGAUUUAGUUUUCAUUAGACUUAGAAGUCCCACAAAUUGUGCCUGAUACAAUUUCUAGACUUACUAUAAUUUAUACUUCACUUACUAGUAUGUGUUUUAGCUAAAUAGAAAGACCAAAGUAAGAGCCUGAAAAAGUAUAUAUUUUAAGAAAAAGAGAAAACAAUUCAUUACUAAGCUUUUGAAGAUGUCUACAAAGUUGGUUAUUUGUGUUCUUAUAAAGUACUUGAAAAACUAUAAACUCUGAUCACACCAUUAUCAGUGUCACUAAGUUUUAAAGACAUACAUGUAGCCAGAUGUGGUGAUGCAUACCUGUAAUGUCCGUGAUGGGGAGAGUUCAAGGCCAGCUGGCUACAUAAAACCCUCUUUCUAACAAACAAACUCCACUAUUCUUUUGAAAUAAAAAGUAAGCAAAGCAGCCUGUGCUUCCCUGAGGGGUUGCCUAUCUAUGUGGCUCUCAAAAUACUCAAAAAAUUGGUACAAAGUAUGGCCUUGAGUGAAUUAUCUCUGAAAAGAGGUAGUGUUUGCUCCUGUAGCAUAUUUUUCACAGAACAGUUUUAGCAGCCUAGAUAGUCAAUAAGUACAAAAAGUACAGAUGCAUAUACAAUAUACAUAAUAGUCUCUCGAAACAGUAUAAUUCUUUAGCUUCACAUAGGAUGAUUAUUAUCUAGGAUCUUUUUCCAUCUAGCUUUGUGUCCACCUAAUUGAUAAAUACUGAUGUGGAAAGAUCAUCAAGUUUUCCUUUACAGGUGGCUAAUAAGUCAUUUGUAUCUUCUACCUUUAAACACAAUCUGUCAUCCUAUUAAGAAAAUGUAAAGUGUAUCCUUAAUUAUUUUAACUUACAGGAAUAUAGUUUAGACACACACAUAUACAGUCUUAUUUUUUAUGUCAUUCUGUCUGUCUAAAGUGUAAGUCAUUAUUUCUUACUCCAUCCUGGAACAUUCGGGAUAAAAAUCAGAAGAAAACAAUAUUCUCUUUUCCUACAGUUGUUCAACUUUAGAUUUUGUUUUUAAAUAAACACAAAACUCAACAAUACUAAUAUUACCUUGAUCUAAGUAUCCUUCGGGAAAAGAACAUUAUAUGUCUCCAAACAUAAUUGCCGUGAGAGGAAUCACAUUCCUGGCAAUUUUAAAAUUCUUUUUUUUCUGCCCAUUUUGGAAGAAUGUCUGUCUGUCAUGUCAGUAAAGCAGUCUUUGAAAAACAGCUGAAAAC